Molecule: ribosomal RNA, 788 nt
Filed under: uncultured Staphylococcus sp.
Lineage: Bacteria; Bacillati; Bacillota; Bacilli; Caryophanales; Staphylococcaceae
Description: SSU rRNA
Rfam family: Bacterial small subunit ribosomal RNA
Source: RNAcentral
CUCUGACGUUAGCGGCGGACGGGUGAGUAACACGUGGAUAACCUACCUAUAAGACUGGGAUAACUUCGGGAAACCGGAGCUAAUACCGGAUAAUAUAUUGAACCGCAUGGUUCAAUAGUGAAAGACGGUUUUGCUGUCACUUAUAGAUGGAUCCGCGCCGCAUUAGCUAGUUGGUAAGGUAACGGCUUACCAAGGCAACGAUGCGUAGCCGACCUGAGAGGGUGAUCGGCCACACUGGAACUGAGACACGGUCCAGACUCCUACGGGAGGCAGCAGUAGGGAAUCUUCCGCAAUGGGCGAAAGCCUGACGGAGCAACGCCGCGUGAGUGAUGAAGGUCUUCGGAUCGUAAAACUCUGUUAUUAGGGAAGAACAAAUGUGUAAGUAACUAUGCACGUCUUGACGGUACCUAAUCAGAAAGCCACGGCUAACUACGUGCCAGCAGCCGCGAUAAUACGUAGGUGGCAAGCGUUAUCCGGAAUUAUUGGGCGUAAAGCGCGCGUAGGCGGUUUUUUAAGUCUGAUGUGAAAGCCCACGGCUCAACCGUGGAGGGUCAUUGGAAACUGGAAAACUUGAGUGCAGAAGAGGAAAGUGGAAUUCCAUGUGUAGCGGUGAAAUGCGCAGAGAUAUGGAGGAACACCAGUGGCGAAGGCGACUUUCUGGUCUGUAACUGACGCUGAUGUGCGAAAGCGUGGGGAUCAAACAGGAUUAGAUACCCUGGUAGUCCACGCCGUAAACGAUGAGUGCUAAGUGUUAGGGGUUUCCGCCCCUUAGUGCUGCAGCUAACGCA